This 84-nucleotide transfer RNA is filed under the name Myxococcus sp. RNAcentral's name for it is "tRNA-Leu". It matches the Rfam family "tRNA". Rfam says of the family: Transfer RNA (tRNA) molecules are approximately 80 nucleotides in length. Their secondary structure includes four short double-helical elements and three loops (D, anti-codon, and T loops). Lineage: Bacteria; Pseudomonadati; Myxococcota; Myxococcia; Myxococcales; Myxococcaceae. The record is from RNAcentral.
GCACGAGUGGCGAAACUGGUAGACGCAGCGGACUUAAAAUCUGCAGGCCGGAAGGCCGUACGGGUUCAAGCCCCGUCUCGUGCA